AAUAAGUUCGUUUGGGUUUUUCCAUAAGAUGUAAUGGGAAAACUUGAAUGAACUUUUUGG
MicroRNA precursor from Bos indicus x Bos taurus (hybrid cattle), 60 nucleotides. The record is from Ensembl. NCBI's taxonomy places the organism in Eukaryota, Metazoa, Chordata, Mammalia, Artiodactyla, Bovidae.